AAUCUAUUCAGAGGAACCUGUUCUAUAAGUGAUAGUCCACGAUUUUAUACACUUAUUUUUCAUUUGCAUAUCGCCGUAGGUUGAAUAUUUUCGUAGAAUUAAUGAAUAUUCAAGAUUUUAGUAAAAAAGAAAUUCAGGUCAAGGUGUAGUUUAUAAAUGAGAAGAAAUGGGUUACAAUAAAUUUAUUUAUAUAGAUUGAUUUUUUUAAAAAAUCUUGAUAGUGGAUUUGACAGUAAUUUUAAAAAAUUAUUUAAUGUGAUUUUAGUUCUAGAAUAUGUACAUAUUGCCCGUCGCUUUCACUUUAAAGUGAAAUAAGUCGUAACAAAGUAGGUGUACCGGAAGGUGUACCUGGAAUAUU
RNAcentral lists this ribosomal RNA (358 nucleotides) under Dieckmannius lewisi. RNAcentral describes it as "partial 12S ribosomal RNA". The record is from RNAcentral. Lineage: Eukaryota; Metazoa; Arthropoda; Insecta; Coleoptera; Curculionidae.